RNAcentral lists this long non-coding RNA (840 nucleotides) under Cottoperca gobio. Its description in RNAcentral is "lncRNA (ENSCGOG00000006579.1)". Lineage: Eukaryota; Metazoa; Chordata; Actinopteri; Perciformes; Bovichtidae. The record is from RNAcentral.
UCCGUACAGAAACAAGAAGUCUACAAAUGACAGGUUGUACUAAAAUUAUACAUUUCUGCAAAACCACGGAUACGUUGAAUGUCACUGCAAAAAUAAAACAGUGACCCAGUUACGCAGCGUCACGUGACACGGGUCCCAUGAUAUCGUCGGUAAAAAUAACUAAACUUUUGGGAUCACACGGGACACGACCAGAGGUCUCCUGAGUGAAGGUCCUGUGCUUGUUUGACAAGAUCUUGCCCCAAACCCAGACUCUAAUGUUGCAUACAGUUCAGCCACUUCCUGAGAACACAAAGCUCACAGAUGAGACAUGUUUUUCUCUUCCCUCCCUGCAGACGUGUCCUCACGAUCAGCCCACAUUCGCUGCUCGACAGGUGGAAGCAGGUGGGAGAGGCGUGGGUGUCGUUCACUCGAGGGGUGAGAUUCGCCGUCCUCCCUCUGUUCCGAUUUCUGCUCCUGCGUUGGUACCGAUCUUCUUAAGACACACACCCCUCCAAAGGGCCGGACCAACUGCUUAUCUUACAGCAAGGAAGUGAGGAAGGAACCAUCAACACUGACACAAAGGGUGGGACGCUCACGAUGUGAGUCGCUCAUGUUUUGGUUUUUGCAGUUUUCCUUUAGCUACGGGGGCUAGAAUGUUACUUCUUCAUGUCGGCUGUUCAGAUUCUUUUGUUUUGAUCUGUCUUUUUGUUUAUUAUCAGAACACUGAGCUUUAUGACAUGGAAACAAAGCAGCUGGUGAGAGAAGGAGCUGCUCAGGAUGGUGCAAGGGUCAAGCAACGAAUGAGCUCUAUUUUCUUAUAAGGCUUCAAGACUAUAUUGAAUACUUGAACACCAAACAAAC